This 497-nucleotide ribosomal RNA is filed under the name uncultured bacterium. RNAcentral describes it as "partial 16S ribosomal RNA". It matches the Rfam family "Bacterial small subunit ribosomal RNA", at positions 28 to 507 of the family's 1533-position model. The record is from RNAcentral.
GAUGAACGCUGGCGGCGUGCCUAAUACAUGCAAGUCGAGCGAACAGAUGAGGAGCUUGCUCCUCUGACGUUAGCGGCGGACGGGUGAGUAACACGUGGAUAACCUACCUAUAAGACUGGGAUAACUUCGGGAAACCGGAGCUAAUACCGGAUAAUAUAUUGAACCGCAUGGUUCAAUAGUGAAAGACGGUUUUGCUGUCACUUAUAGAUGGAUCCGCGCCGCAUUAGCUAGUUGGUAAGGUAACGGCUUACCAAGGCAACGAUGCGUAGCCGACCUGAGAGGGUGAUCGGCCACACUGGAACUGGGACACGGUCCAGACUCCUAAGGGAGGCAGCAGUAGGGAAUCGUCCGCAAUGGGCGAAAGCCUGACGGAGCAACGCCGCGUGAGUGAUGAAGGUCUUCGGAUCGUAAAACUCUGUUAUUAGGGAAGAACAAAUGUGUAAGUAACUAUGCACGUCUUGACGGUACCUAAUCAGAAAGCCACGGCUAACUACGUG